This is a long non-coding RNA of Photinus pyralis (common eastern firefly), 709 nucleotides long. RefSeq lists it as uncharacterized. The record is from RefSeq and is a predicted model, not a curated record. The transcript has 2 exons. Lineage: Eukaryota; Metazoa; Arthropoda; Insecta; Coleoptera; Lampyridae.
AUUUUGCAAUGUCAGAAUAAUAACAUUCUAACUUACUAUUCACAUAAUUUAAUUGUAAUAUCCAAAAAUGCAAAAUAAAAUGUAGUAUAGUAAUUAGUAUUACAGUAGUCCCGUGAGAAUUUCGAACACUUUUUCACGCGCUCGUACCCCAUUCCCAGAAAAAUUCCGUUUUUCCCGUUUGGUUGAGAAUUUGGGAAGCAUUUUAAUAUAUGUGAAACCUUAGGAAGCAUACGUUCAACCAUUUUCCAAAGUUUCAUCGCAAUCGGAUGAACAGUUUAGGCAGGCAUAAGAAACAUACAAACAUUUAUAAGGAAGAAGAGUUUUCAACCUUACAUAAUGACCCUAAUUAAAUUGGAACCAGGUGACACAUGGUGUUUGAAAAAAACCCAUAGCUAUUACUAUCAAGUACAAGGGCAACUGCACAUAACAAAUAGAAAUAUUUGUUACUUCAUAGUAUACACCAGAGGACAUGUGGAACAAAUCGAAAGAGAUGACGUUUUUUGGACUACCAAAAUGGCGGAGAAGUUGUCUGACUUUUAUUACAACUCGCUAAUCCCGGAAUUGGUAGAUCCACGAAGAAGUAGAGGACAAGACCUGAGAACAAUUUACAUGAGUUGAGGGGGAGGUGCAACACUAUGCAUUAAUUAUUUAAUAAAGUAUUUUUUCUUAUUGUAAAUAUUUGUAUAUUUUAUAUAAAAGUAUAACAUUU